Long non-coding RNA from Athene cunicularia (burrowing owl), 619 nucleotides. RefSeq lists it as uncharacterized. The record is from RefSeq and is a predicted model, not a curated record. The transcript is spliced from 4 exons. Lineage: Eukaryota; Metazoa; Chordata; Aves; Strigiformes; Strigidae.
GGGGGAGGACGAUGGCGGCCGAGGGCUCCCCCGGCCCGGCCCGCACAGGCACGGGCUGCCUUCGUGUGGGAGCCCGCAGGGCUGCGCCGGCCCGGGUUUGAGGCAGCAGCUCGCCGAAUCCUUCACGUUUGUCGCGGGGUCUUAGAGGUGGAUGAUUUCUGAGGGGUAGGAAGGCGCCUUUGGAGAGCACUGGGAGGAGAUGGGCAGGGUGGUCCUCAGGGCGCUGCUGGAAAGGCGGUGCUGUGGUAUGCUGCUGUUCGCAGCCUAGCGAUGUCCGUUAAAAAAAUCUCAAGGCUGAUUAAAGUGUUACAGAUGGAUGCUGUUGUCAGCAUGGGUCUGAAGUGUGUGUCCGUGAAGCUGAAGCUGCCAAGUGGGCAGCUAAGAAGCUGUCUUGGCAAACGAACUGUGUAUCUUUAUGCAGAAGGAAAGCGAGGAAAGUGAGAACCGUAAAGGACUGCUGCCUCAGAGCUGCUGUUGCCAUAGAGCUGCUAACGAGGAAAAAAACUGCAGCAUGGAUUUCUUCUGCUGUUGAAGGCAACUGCAGUCCUGGUCAUGAUGCUGAUGCUGCUGUACGGAGAGACCUUCUAAAGAGGACAGAUACUUACAGCCUCUGCAGGUA